RNAcentral lists this ribosomal RNA (468 nucleotides) under uncultured bacterium. Its description in RNAcentral is "partial 16S ribosomal RNA". It matches the Rfam family "Bacterial small subunit ribosomal RNA", at positions 28 to 507 of the family's 1533-position model. The record is from RNAcentral.
GACGAACGCUGGCGGCGUGCUUAACACAUGCAAGUCGAACGGAAAGGCCCUGCUUUUGUGGGGUGCUCGAGUGGCGAACGGGUGAGUAACACGUGAGUAACCUGCCCUUGACUUUGGGAUAACUUCAGGAAACUGGGGCGAAUACCGGAUAGGAGCUCCUGCUGCAUGGUGGGGGUUGGAAAGUGUCGGCGGUUGGGGAUGGACUCGCGGCUUAUCAGCUUGUUGGUGGGGUAGUGGCUUACCAAGGCUUUGACGGGUAGCCGGCCUGAGCGGGUGACCGGCCACAUUGGGACUGAGAUACGGCCCAGACUCCUACGGGAGGCAGCAGUGGGGAAUAUUGAACAAUGGGCGGAAGCCUGAUGCAGCAACGCCGCGUGCGGGAUGACGGCCUUCGGGUUGUAACCCGCUUUCGCCUGUGACGAAGCGUGAGUGACGGUAAUGGGUAAAGAAGCACCGGCUAAUUACGUG